UGAAUUUUCUGGUACGAAACUAAUGAAAUGUGACUCGUCUAUAAAUUCCACUGUUUUCAUCGUUGUACCAACACAAGCAAUCAAACAAUUUACCAACAAAACAUCAACUAGAGAAAGAGAAAAAAAUGGAAUUUGAUUAUUUUUGCCCGCCUGGGAAGCUAAGCUGGCCGGAAUUGGUUGGAAAGAAUGGAGAAGAAGCAGCUGAAAUAAUUAAGCAAGAGAAUCCUCUUGUCGAUCCCAUUGUUUGGGAUAAAGGAUGGAGGCCACUUAACUUCAAUUGUUAUCGGGUUUUCGUAUUCGUUGAUUCGGAUGGUAUCGUUACUAGUCCUCCAACGGCAGGUUAAGCAGUGCCAUGAAUCAUGCGAAUAAUAUGUACACAUCAAAUUAUAUAAGUACUAAAUAAAUGAAUGUGUACCGGUAUAUAUGUAGCAUGUAGUACGGAUCCAAGUAUGUGUGAUUAUGAAAUAUGAAGUGAUGAUAAUCUAUUUGAACUACAUACAAUAAAAGGAAAUUGGGGUGUGCUAAAAUUUGGCACGACACGAUGCCCACCUUUAA
Long non-coding RNA from Chenopodium quinoa (quinoa), 555 nucleotides. RefSeq lists it as uncharacterized. The transcript has 2 exons. Lineage: Eukaryota; Viridiplantae; Streptophyta; Magnoliopsida; Caryophyllales; Amaranthaceae. The record is from RefSeq and is a predicted model, not a curated record.